CCCUUAGAUGUUCUGGGCCGCACGCGCGCUACACUGACGAAUGCAAUGAGCUUAUAACCUUGGCCGAAAGGUCUGGGUAAUCUCCAAAUUUCGUCGUGAUGGGGAUAGAUUAUUGCAAUUAUUAAUCUUCAACGAGGAAUGCCUAGUAAGCGCAAGUCAUCAGCUUGCGUUGAUUACGUCCCUGCCCUUUGUACACACCGCCCGUCGCUCCUACCGAUUGAAUGGUCCGGUGAAGCGUUCGGACCGUGGCCUUUGGACGGUUCGCCGUCUGUUGGCUGCGGGAAGUUCGUUAAACCUUAUCAUUUAGAGGAAGGAGAAGUCGUAACA
RNAcentral lists this ribosomal RNA (327 nucleotides) under uncultured eukaryote. RNAcentral's name for it is "partial 18S ribosomal RNA". It matches the Rfam family "Eukaryotic small subunit ribosomal RNA", at positions 1470 to 1796 of the family's 1831-position model. The record is from RNAcentral.